RNAcentral lists this ribosomal RNA (467 nucleotides) under uncultured bacterium. RNAcentral describes it as "partial 16S ribosomal RNA". It matches the Rfam family "Bacterial small subunit ribosomal RNA", at positions 28 to 507 of the family's 1533-position model. The record is from RNAcentral.
GACGAACGCUGGCGGCGUGCUUAACACAUGCAAGUCGAACGAUGACGACCGAGCUUGCUCGGUCUGAUUAGUGGCGAACGGGUGAGUAACACGUGAGCAACCUGCCCUUCACUCAGGGAUAACCUCGGGAAAUCGGGGCUAAUACCGGAUAUGAGCUCCUGUCGCAUGGCGGGUGUUGGAAAGUUUUUCGGUGAAGGAUGGGCUCGCGGCCUAUCAGUUUGUUGGUGAGGUAGUGGCUCACCAAGGCGAUGGCGGGUAGCCGGCCUGAGAGGGCGACCGGCCACACGGGGACUGAGGCACGGCCCAGACUCCUACGGGAGGCAGCAGUGGGGAAUAUUGCACAAUGGGCGAAAGCCUGAUGCAGCGACGCCGCGUGAGGGAUGACGGCCUUCGGGUUGUAAACCUCUUUCAGCAGGGAAGAAGCGAAAGUGACGGUACCUGCAGAAGAAGCGCCGGCUAACUACGUG